Molecule: ribosomal RNA, 592 nt
Filed under: uncultured bacterium
Lineage: Bacteria
Description: bacterial SSU rRNA
Rfam family: Bacterial small subunit ribosomal RNA
Source: RNAcentral
UACUCCUACGGGAGGCAGCAGUGGGGAAUAUUGGACAAUGGGCGCAAGCCUGAUCCAGCCAUACCGCGUGGGUGAAGAAGGCCUUCGGGUUGUAAAGCCCUUUUGUUGGGAAAGAAAUCCAGCUGGUUAAUACCCGGUUGGGAUGACGGUACCCAAAGAAUAAGCACCGGCUAACUUCGUGCCAGCAGCCGCGGUAAUACGAAGGGUGCAAGCGUUACUCGGAAUUACUGGGCGUAAAGCGUGCGUAGGUGGUCGUUUAAGUCCGUUGUGAAAGCCCUGGGCUCAACCUGGGAACUGCAGUGGAUACUGGACGACUAGAGUGUGGUAGAGGGUAGCGGAAUUCCUGGUGUAGCAGUGAAAUGCGUAGAGAUCAGGAGGAACAUCCAUGGCGAAGGCAGCUACCUGGACCAACACUGACACUGAGGCACGAAAGCGUGGGGAGCAAACAGGAUUAGAUACCCUGGUAGUCCACGCCCUAAACGAUGCGAACUGGAUGUUGGGUGCAAUUUGGCACGCAGUAUCGAAGCUAACGCGUUAAGUUCGCCGCCUGGGGAGUACGGUCGCAAGACUGAAACUCAAAUGAAUUGACGGA